Molecule: ribosomal RNA, 450 nt
Filed under: uncultured bacterium
Lineage: Bacteria
Description: partial 16S ribosomal RNA
Rfam family: Bacterial small subunit ribosomal RNA
Source: RNAcentral
GUAGGGAAUCUUCGGCAAUGGACGAAAGUCUGACCGAGCAACGCCGCGUGAGUGAAGAAGGUUUUCGGAUCGUAAAACUCUGUUGGUAGAGAAGAACGUUGGUGAGAGUGGAAAGCUCAUCAAGUGACGGUAACUACCCAGAAAGGGACGGCUAACUACGUGCCAGCAGCCGCGGUAAUACGUAGGUCCCAAGCGUUGUCCGGAUUUAUUGGGCGUAAAGCGAGCGCAGGUGGUUUAUUAAGUCUGGUGUAAAAGGCAGUGGCUCAACCAUUGUAUGCAUUGGAAACUGGUAGACUUGAGUGCAGGAGAGGAGAGUGGAAUUCCAUGUGUAGCGGUGAAAUGCGUAGAUAUAUGGAGGAACACCGGUGGCGAAAGCGGCUCUCUGGCCUGUAACUGACACUGAGGCUCGAAAGCGUGGGGAGCAAACAGGAUUAGAUACCCGGGUAGUCC